GCUGGGAUUAGAGGCAUGAGCCACCGCACCUGGCCUCUGUUUCUUAUAUUUUUAAUGGAUGAUUAUUAGUAAGAUUGUUUAGAAUCUACAUAGGCUAGCUGUUCCCAGUGGGUGAAGUAAGCGGCAGUUAAUGUAGUACAAUUAAGAAAGUUCAGAAAAUUAGAUUUCUCUGUCCCUCUCUGCUCGUCUGUAACGGCUGAAAUUAUACAGUUAAAAGGUUUUUCCCCUUUUGGAUUAUUAAGAUAUUGUCCUCAUUUAGAUGUAUACAGUUCUUAAAAUGUAGCUUUUUUUUUCUUGUAAGUAAAAUCUAUUGAAAAAUAGAUAGGAUGAGUGCUACCCCCUACAAAUGAAGAUGUACACACUUACAUUCACUCAUUCAUUCAUUCACUCUCAUUUAUUAUUCAGUUAAUAUGGCUGGCUCUACUAAAGGCUCUGUGUUACACACUGUGGACCACAAGAAGAAGAGACAGAUUUGGAUCUCACCUGUAGAGUUUACAGCCUAGAGAAGAAGCCUAUGCUACCUUCUAUUGAGAGACAGACUCAAAGUCUGGGCCUAUCCUGGGAAACACAGAGGGAGAUAUGAGGCUACAUCGAACAUUCUGGGGUAACCAGGAGGCAGAUUGCAGAAAGGAUCUAAAGUCAAGGGAAGAAGCCUCUAUUACCUUCUGUUGAAAGACAGACUCGAGGUCUGGGCCUAUCCUGGGAAACACAGAAGGAAAUGUGAGGCUGAAUCGAACAUUCUGGAGUAACCAGGAGGCAGAUCGCAGAAAGGAUCUAACGCCAAGGCAAGGAGAGCAGCUCCCAGUGUGGCAAUGAGAGGAUGAAUAGAAACUUUGCCUACUUCAUUUGGGAGCAGGCAAGCCAUCCCUGCAGAAGAUUCCAGUUUUUCUCCUGCUCCUUGUCUAAAGUAGAACUUGUUGACAAAUGCCUCUCUCCGAAUUGCCCAACUGUCACUGGCAGCUCUAAUUACAGUGAAUUACCUCAUGCCAGCUGGUGUUAUUGCAAAGCAAACAUCAAGUAAGCUAAACAAACUAAAGGAAACGUGUCCUCAUUGAUCUUGCUCUGAUGGCAGUUUUCCUAAUUAGAAAAAAAAUGUAUCAAAAUAAUGAGCCUCUUCCCUCAUAAUCUUUUUACCUUUUGUCUGACUCAGAAAACAUAUUGAUUCAUAUUAAUAGUUUCUCUUCUUGAAAAUAACAGCAUAAAUGGGUCAUCUUCAACUUAAAAUAGUUUUAAAAAAAUCAAAACUUCACUUCCAAUUUAAUUUUUUGAAAUUAAGAAUGUACUUCCUAUAGAAAUAAUGCAAAUGGUAGGAAACCCCUUCCAAGCUAAUCCAUGAAGACAUUCUUAACCAAUAAAUGACUGAAAUAAUGAAAACUCACUAAGGCACAGUAUUGAUGUAACAAAGCUGAUUAAGUAAAAUACUAAGUUGAAAAUGACUUGUUUUACAUAUGGACAUAUACAUAUGUUUACAUAGUAUAUAUAAAAUUCUUUUCUCUAGAACUUAAAAUUCUAAAAUUUAGAAUUUAAAAUUCUUUAGAAUUUCUUCAGAAAUGCUCAAAUUCUUUAUUAAUUUUUUAAAUUUAUAGCUUCAAUAGUAAUGCUUAAAGAAAACUGACCUUAAGUUGAAGAGUUUAGGGAAUUAGAUUAAGAAUUUUGCAUAGAUGAUAGGCAAGGGUUAUUGAUUGUCUUGACAAGGACUGGGAGAUUAAAAGAGGAAAUGGAGUGAAGAGGAUGUAUAUUGAUUGGUGAAAAGAAAAUGUCUGAAGCAAAAUGAGCUGAUCUGUACAUGGCAUAUAGAUGGCAUAAGGCCAUCAGGAAUGGAGGGCAGUGGGACUGAGAUGUCAUCCCAGGCGGUUCCCUGAGCAUCCUCCUUACUCUAGGCUCCACUGGCCAGGAUCAGCUUGUGGCUAUCCAACUAGGGAAAGGUGACACCAACUCCAGGGGGGUGGGCAGAGGAGGAGUCCAAGUGCAAAAACCUUUAAUAAGUGUCACAUCCUCACAAAUCAGAUACCUACCACUCAGCAAGUAACUGUAUAACAUGACUAGAGUGUAUCAAAAUACCUUAAAUAAGGAAGGGCCAAAUGACUGAUAAGGAAUAAGGGCCCUGGAGGGACCAAAAGUGAUUUUUUUCUUGACCCUCUCAGGAUAUCUCAUAAAUAGAGAUAAGGAUGAUGGCAUUAGAAUAAGAAAAAUAAAAAUGACAUUGUACAGACAAAAAGAAGAAAUACUUUUUUCCCCCGUGUCUCUCCGCUACAAGUUAAGGGACUCUGAAUAGGAAAUCUCAAAGAAGCCCAUAGAUUAAAGAACAAACUGAGUAAGCGCCAUGAAUAAUCCAUUUUCCUAUAAAACCUAUGAAGACUUGGCAUGGGUUCUACAGCAAAGGUGCCGAAUAAGGUAACCCAGGAAAAGUCCCUGUUCCCCAGUUUUGUGGCUAAUGAGGGUUUACAUGAGCAUGUCCAGCAUAUUAACUUCAUGGAGACUUUAGUCCUCUCUUGACAUUACCACUUAGUUUUUAAAAUAUAUUAUUUCCAAAUAUUAAUUCUAUGCAAAUUCUGAUAACUUAAUGAUAGAGUUCCUUUCCUACACCUUAGAUAUUGCCAGCAUAGGGAAUGAAACCAACAUAUGCAACUUUGAAAUGCAUGUAAAUGUUUACUGCUCCAUUAUAGGCCUUAAGCAUUAAAGAAAAAUUUAAAUGAAGCCAAAAGAAAACAAAGGAGUGCUAAUCAUGGCUUAGUUGUCCUUUAAAAAUAAGUGGAUUGAAACUAACAAGUAGAUAAUAAUUCUCUAUUUGCAAAGUGAAGCAGUAUACAAUUCUGUCCCUUUUCUUUUUGCAGAAAUUCAAGGUGAUCUAUAGAAACAACACGGAUGUUGUUGCAAAUACUCUGUGGCAUAUUCUGGCCUUUAAAUAAUACAGGUCACAUUACUAGUGGUGAGUCAACACCCACAGAUCCUCGUUGGAUUUGCUGCCAGUGAUUCUUCCAUUUUUCCUGAAACUGUCUACUUCUUCGGCUACCAGGAGCACUAUGUGCUUUUGUUUUUCUUCUCAUCUCUGAUAUUUUCUCUGUACUCAGCAUUAAUGAAUAUAAAUAUGUGGAUUGUAGUGAAUUUGCCAGAUUUAUUUUAAAACUUGAGAAACCAUAAAUGUGAAAUGAGAGGUCCAAACUCCUCUUUAACUGUGAUAAAAGAAGACUGAAAUCAAACAACUGAAACCAUGAGCCAAAUCUAUUAGCACUGAACUCCUCCAACAGCGUGAUGUCACAGGCCCCUGGAAGAAUCGACAUGGUUGGCAUUACUCUGGUCAUUUAGUUGCCAUGCAGCCAAGCAAAGGCAAGUGACGAAAAUAGUAUUUUUUAGUAAGGUAGCGCUAUACGUAGUUACACUAAAUCAAUGACGAGCAAAUGGCAGGGAGUCUUCCUGUAUGGGGUUUCAGUUACAUUUACCACUUUAUCACUUUGUCUAGCAAAGUGUUCAGCACUCAUCAAAUAUGUGUUGAAUAUUUUGAACACUGAUGACUUGUUCAAAUGGGUUUGCAGUUAUUUCCUGCUUAACCAAAGUUUAAGUCAAUUAAGGUUGAGUCACAAUGAAUUUUUUAAAAGCUGGUUGAUCUUUCAUUUUUUCCUUUUUGCAAAGAAAAUUCUUAAUUUUCACUAUUAUGAAAGGCAUUUCAAGUGUAUUUAAGAGAAGCAAACUUGGACCAAAAGGAGAGAAUAUGUAUUUUAGCCUAAGAUCUGUCGGUUUUUGUGAAGUAAGACAAAUCAUGUAAUAGUAUCUAAAGGUUUAUGCUUCAGUUUCCUACCGUGUAAUAACACUGCUCUUGUUAUUUCAUAUCAUUGUUAUGAAAAUGAGAGCAUAAUUAUGAAAAUUCUUUGAAAAACUAAUAAUCCCUAUACAGAUACAGGACUUAUAGUCUAGAUAUAGAAGUAUAUUAUACUCCUGGGGACAUAAAAUGGACAUGAGGGAAACCAUCACAUUUGGUUGUCUAUUCCACACAUACAGACACACAUUUUAGUAUAUGCAGAAUGUGAUGCUAGGCACUUCAGGGCAUGCCAAGGUGGGUGGGACAUGUCGUUCUAGUCCCAAAAGCUGACCAUUGUGUAGAGAACAAAGAAGUAGAGCGAUGAGACCUAAGAAGGCUGUGGAGGAGAAGGUCAGAGAACAAAGACACACACACACACACACACACACACACACACUUAAGCUUUAAAAAGAGAAAAUGGUUUUACAUUAAUGGAUCAUUAAAGUAGAGUAUUUUCCCCUUAUCUGUAAAGGAUAUAUAUUUUUUUCAGAUGAAGUCUCUCUGUUGCCCAG
Molecule: long non-coding RNA, 4308 nt
Organism: Sapajus apella (tufted capuchin)
Lineage: Eukaryota; Metazoa; Chordata; Mammalia; Primates; Cebidae
Exons: 3
Source: RefSeq, a predicted model, not a curated record